AUUUCAUAUAAAAACUAUCGCUUUUCACAGAUAUGGAAGGAGAUAUAAAGAUAUUUUCAGACUUUGUGAGUGUAGAACUGUAGAGGGAAGAUUCUAAUUUGGGUAGCAGGUGUUCUAACUGAAAGCAGAGAUGGACAAAAUAUAUUCUGCAGUCUACUAAUGACAGAAGACCACUAUUUUGAUGAAAAUGUAAAAAUUAUAAUUGUAAAAAUAUUUACAAAGUUACCGAUGAAAAUGAGGAUGGUGAAUGGAAGGGGUACCCACACUAAUUUACAUGAUUUUGUGCAAAGUUCUUUUUCACAAACAUAAUAAUUUUCAUGUGCUGGAAGCUACGUUUGCAUGUGAUAUAAUUGUUUUAUCUUCUAUGGUUUUUAUUCAGUUUAUUUAGUUUGAUGAUCAGUACCCAUCAUAGGGUAAGUAUUGUGGUUACGUCUGCCUAGGAGAAAUCAGCCAAGAAUUCUAACAAUGUACUAAAUCCUCUUCUCAAAGAUAUAAUCUGUAGAGAGCAUCUACUUCAUCUGACAAACAUGAUUUCAAUUCAGGAAAUAGCUCACAAUCACUCUAUUGCAUCUGACAUCAGCGGUACCCAUGCAGCCAUUCUGUGCAAACUCCCUGCUUUUAAAGGUCUUCCCAUCACUGUUAUUGGUCUCACAGAUGAUGAAGUAUGACACUCCAUAAACAAUGAGCUGGGCCUUUUGUAGGCUGCUUUGCUUUUUUUGGCUUCAAACUGCCACUGAAUGUCAAAUCAAUUUGGCUCUCAUUAGAACAGCUUUAUAUGUGCAAAUGUAUUUGUGUCUGGUUGCCACUUUUUUUCUAUUUUUGCCUUCCUUUCCCUUUGCUUUUUUUUCCUCCUCUCUCUUGGAUGAUGUCAUUUUUCUCUAAUCAAAGCCAACACCUGUUUCUCUAAAAUAGGAAUCUCUGUGUAGAGCUCUUUAUCACAAUCUGAGUACACCCUAAAUGGGCUCAUUAUGAAUCAAGUUCCCCCAGAACAAAGAGGAAGUGCUCUGUUACAGUGACAUUGUACAUCAUAGAGCCUGGACAAAGUCAAGAGCUGAUGUAACCUUGACUUUUGACAUCCCAAGAGACUGCUGUCUAGAUAGUGCAAGGUGUUUAAGCCACUGUCUUUGAUAAGUAGUGAAACAAUAAAUCUGACCCUGUGUUUAAGAACAGCUCAACUGUUACACAAUGCUGUAUUGUGCUUGUGGGGUUCUGGGUUUGGGGAUAUUAUUGUUGUGUUGUUUUUCUCCUAACCAAUUAAAGGGAAUACAGAAUUGC
This is a long non-coding RNA of Pezoporus occidentalis (night parrot), 1275 nucleotides long. RefSeq lists it as uncharacterized. The transcript has 2 exons. NCBI's taxonomy places the organism in Eukaryota, Metazoa, Chordata, Aves, Psittaciformes, Psittacidae. The record is from RefSeq and is a predicted model, not a curated record.